RNAcentral lists this unclassified non-coding RNA (282 nucleotides) under plant metagenome. RNAcentral describes it as "partial contains small subunit ribosomal RNA, internal transcribed spacer 1, and 5.8S ribosomal RNA". The stretch from base 235 to 282 matches the Rfam family "5.8S ribosomal RNA", at positions 1 to 49 of the family's 154-position model. The record is from RNAcentral.
UUUCCGUAGGUGAACCUGCGGAAGGAUCAUUAUUGUAUAACCGAGGUGCGAGGGCUGUCGCUGACCCGAAAGGUCGUGCACGCCCGAGUGCCCUCACACACAUCCAUCUCACCCCUAUGUGCACCACCGCGUGGGUCCCCCUUUGGCUUGUUCGGAGGGGGGCUUACGUCUUCACACAAACUUUGUAUGCAGUGUAGAAUGUAUUUUUUGUUUUUGCGAUCACGCAAUCAAUACAACUUUCAACAACGGAUCUCUUGGCUCUCGCAUCGAUGAGAACGCAGC